GAGAAAGAGGAGCGUUACUAAGUUCAGUGAAACGACUCUGAUUUAGAGAGGGGUGCAGAGUAGGAGGUUGGAUGGCAGACAGGCUUCACAAUGUUGCACAAAAGCCGUAAUAGUAGCUGCAGGGAAUUCCAGGAAUCGUAGUGACACGAAAGUGCUCAGUAACUGUGGUACAACACUCUUCCAAAUCUCAAUACAUUCAAGUUGAACAACAACCUCCAGCAAAAUCUUCUUUCCAACUAGAAGGCACCCCGGGUCUCCAGAGGUUUCAGAAGUCAAAGAUGUGCCAGAUAAAAUGAGAUGGAGGCUACUCAUGUACAGAAUGGCUGUUGACUCCCUAUAACAACCCACAGACCAGAAGUCAAGUACGUUUCAAUGAAGCUCACCGAUCUACCAGGGGGAUAAUUGAGAGGACUUUCGGUCUUUUGAAAAUGCGGUUUCGAUGUCUUGAUCGUUCUGGUGGUGCUAUGCAGUAUGCACCUGAGAAAGUUGCAAAAAUUAUAUUGGUUUGCUGCAUACUGCACAAUAUAGCAAUAAAAAGAGGCUGUCCAUUAGAAGAUGAAAAUACCAUAGAUGCUGAUGAUUUAACAGAAGAAAUAUGUGUAGAACAAGCUAAUAGGCGUGGUAUGGCAACAAGGGACAUGGUUUCCAAACAAUAUUUUGAAGAUUAAAAUUCCUGUUUUCAGUUGAUCAAUAAAAAAACUUUCUUUAUUAA
Bombina bombina (fire-bellied toad) is the source of this 712-nucleotide long non-coding RNA. RefSeq lists it as uncharacterized. NCBI's taxonomy places the organism in Eukaryota, Metazoa, Chordata, Amphibia, Anura, Bombinatoridae. The record is from RefSeq and is a predicted model, not a curated record. The transcript is spliced from 3 exons.